AAGUGUUACAGCUCCUUCAGGAUUUGUCUAGCAGUUUCCCGGUUUUUACUCCAGCCCCU
RNAcentral lists this small nuclear RNA (59 nucleotides) under Tupaia belangeri (northern tree shrew). RNAcentral's name for it is "U7 small nuclear RNA (ENSTBEG00000020629.1)". The record is from RNAcentral. Lineage: Eukaryota; Metazoa; Chordata; Mammalia; Scandentia; Tupaiidae.